AGUGAACGCUGGCGGUAGGCCUAACACAUGCAAGUCGAACGGCAGCACAGUAAGAGCUUGCUCUUACGGGUGGCGAGUGGCGGACGGGCGAGGAAUACAUCGGAAUCUACUUUUUCGUGGGGGAUAACGUAGGGAAACUUACGCUAAUACCGCAUACGACCUACGGGUGAAAGCAGGGGAUCUUCGGACCUUGCGCGAUUGAAUGAGCCGAUGUCGGAUUAGCUAGUUGGCGGGGUAAAGGCCCACCAAGGCGACGAUCCGUAGCUGGUCUGAGAGGAUGAUCAGCCACACUGGAACUGAGACACGGUCCAGACUCCUACGGGAGGCAGCAGUGGGGAAUAUUAGACAAUGGGCGCAAGCCUGAUCCAGCCAUACCGCGUGGGUGAAGAAGGCCUUCGGGUUGUAAAGCCCUUUUGUUGGGAAAGAAAAGCAGCAGGUUAAUACCCCGCUGUUCUGACGGUACCCAAAGAAUAAGCACCGGCUAACUUCGUG
Molecule: ribosomal RNA, 492 nt
Filed under: uncultured bacterium
Lineage: Bacteria
Description: partial 16S ribosomal RNA
Rfam family: Bacterial small subunit ribosomal RNA
Source: RNAcentral